AUUGAACGCUGGCGGAAUGCUUUACACAUGCAAGUCGAACGGCAGCACGGGGGCAACCCUGGUGGCGAGUGGCGAACGGGUGAGUAAUGUAUCGGAACGUACCCCGUCGUGGGGGAUAACUCUCCGAAAGGAGAGCUAAUACCGCAUACGACCUGAGGGUGAAAGCGGGGGACCUGCAAGGGCCUCGCGCGAUGGGAGCGGCCGAUAUCGGAUUAGCUAGUUGGUGAGGUAAAGGCUCACCAAGGCGACGAUCCGUAGCGGGUCUGAGAGGACGACCCGCCACACUGGAACUGAGACACGGUCCAGACUCCUACGGGAGGCAGCAGUGGGGAAUUUUGGACAAUGGGGGAAACCCUGAUCCAGCCAUUCCGCGUGAGUGAAGAAGGCCUUCGGGUUGUAAAGCUCUUUCAGCAGGAACGAAACGGUAGGCUUUAAUACAGUUUGCUAAUGACGGUACCUGCAGAAGAAGCACCGGCUAACUACGUGCCAGCAGCCGCGGUAAUACGUAGGGUGCGAGCGUUAAUCGGAAUUACUGGGCGUAAAGCGUGCGCAGGCGGCGACAUAAGACAGAUGUGAAAUCCCCGGGCUCAACNNNGGGAACUGCGUUCGUGACUGUGUUGCUAGAGUGUAGCAGAGGGGGGUGGAAUUCCACGUGUAGCAGUGAAAUGCGUAGAGAUGUGGAGGAACACCGAUGGCGAAGGCAGCCCCCUGGGUUAACACUGACGCUCAUGCACGAAAGCGUGGGGAGCAAACAGGAUUAGAUACCCUGGUAGUCCACGCCCUAAACGAUGCCAACUAGGUGUUGGGGGAGGAGACUUCCUUAGUACCGUAGCUAACGCGUGAAGUUGGCCGCCUGGGGAGUACGGUCGCAAGAUUAAAACUCAAAGGAAUUGACGGGGACCCGCACAAGCGGUGGAUGAUGUGGAUUAAUUCGAUGCAACGCGAAAAACCUUACCUACCCUUGACAUGUCCGGAAUCCUGAAGAGAUUUGGGAGUGCUCGAAAGAGAACCGGAACACAGGUGCUGCAUGGCUGUCGUCAGCUCGUGUCGUGAGAUGUUGGGUUAAGUCCCGCAACGAGCGCAACCCUUAUCAUUAGUUGCCAUCAUUUAGUUGGGCACUCUAAUGAGACUGCCGGUGACAAACCGGAGGAAGGUGGGGAUGACGUCAAGUCCUCAUGGCCCUUAUGGGUAGGGCUUCACACGUCAUACAAUGGUCGGUACAGAGGGUUGCCAACCCGCGAGGGGGAGCUAAUCUCACAAAGCCGAUCGUAGUCCGGAUCGCAGUCUGCAACUCGACUGCGUGAAGUCGGAAUCGCUAGUAAUCGUGGAUCAGCAUGUCACGGUGAAUACGUUCCCGGGUCU
RNAcentral lists this ribosomal RNA (1362 nucleotides) under uncultured soil bacterium. RNAcentral describes it as "bacterial SSU rRNA". It matches the Rfam family "Bacterial small subunit ribosomal RNA", at positions 28 to 1381 of the family's 1533-position model. The record is from RNAcentral.